UGUGUACUACUACCACGAGUAAAUAAUUUCUCGAACUUGGACACCAUUCCAUUCGUGUUGCUGUAUCCAACUCUACAUUCGACUCCUGGAGCACCGAAAGCCUCGCCCGGCUCCCGCAAAAGUCCGCCCGCGCCGGAAGGAUGUCGAAGCAGCAAGGAGGCAAACGAGGACUUGCGGCAUGUUGCGCUCGCCUCGCCUCGCCUCGCCUCCACCACGCGUCCCUCCACGCCACGCACUUGCGCUCGCGCUCCCCGCCCGCCUCCUCCUCCUAUUUAGGCACACCCCUCCUCCCCGCUCCGUUCUUCCGCACCAACUCGAAUCUCCCACUCCCAACCGCCCGGCGGACCUUCCCGAGCCUUCGCCACGCAAUGGCAAUGCAGCCUCCUUCCUCCGGGGACGAGGCGGACGCGCUCCUCCCGCGGAGCGACUCCGCCGGCCGCCGCCGCUCGUCGCCCGUGCAGUCCGCGUCCCCGAGGCCCCCGGGGGCCGGUCCCAGGAGGCAGUCGUCCUUCCGCCACGACGUCGGCCAUGCCGCCUCGGAGACCUACCUCGUCACGCGCCUCACCUUCACCCUACUCCAGUACCUCGGGUUAGGUUACCGCUGGAUGAGGCAGCUUCUUGCCCUCGCAGUCUACGCUGUUCUACUUAUGCCAGGUUUUUUGCAAGUUGGAUUUUACUAUUUCUUUUCAAGUCAGGUUCGUAGAAGUAUAGUUUAUGGAGAACAACCGAGAAACAGGUUGGAUUUGUAUAUACCCAAAGAUAAUAGAAGACCCUGUCCGGUGGUGGCCUUUGUAACUGGCGGGGCCUGGAUUAUUGGUUACAAGGCAUGGGGUGCUCUUCUUGGCAGGCGAUUGGCUGAGAGAGGAAUCAUAGUUGCUUGCAUUGAUUACAGAAAUUUUCCGCAAGGAACAAUAAGUGACAUGGUUAGCGAUGCUUCUCAGGGGAUCUCAUUUGUGUGUAACAACAUUGCUAGUUAUGGAGGUGAUCCUAAUCAGAUCUACUUGAUGGGUCAGUCAGCAGGAGCACAUAUUUCAGCAUGUGUCCUAAUGGAACAGGCAGUAAAAGAGUCUAGCGGGCAGCCCAUUUCUUGGAGCGUUACACAAACCAAAGCAUACUUUGGUUUAUCUGGAGGAUACAACCUCCAUAAUUUGGUCGACCAUUUCCAUCAGCGUGGUCUGAACCGUUCAAUAUUUUUCAGUAUAAUGGAUGGAGAAGAAUCAUUGUCACGUUAUUCUCCCGAAAUUGUUGUCAAGGAGUCAAGUGCCCGGACCAUAGCUCUACUGCCUCGUAUAUUUCUUAUGCAUGGAACAGAUGAUUAUUCAAUACCAUCAUCUGCCAGUCGAACUUUUGUAGACAUCCUUCAACAAGCUGGUGCCCAGGCCAAAUUAUUGUUGUACGAAGGGAAAACACAUACAGAUAUAUUUAUACAGGAUCCUCUUAGGGGUGGAAGGGAUCCUUUGGUUGAAGAUGUCUUGUCUGUUAUUCAUGCUGAUGAUGCAACUCGCCGAAAUACAGCUUCUGUGCCAACUCCAAGGCGCCUGGUUUUUGAGUGGCAAUUGCAGUUGGCCCGUUGGAUUAGUCCCUUCUAGAAGGUAAUUGUUGUUCCCGUAUUUAUCUUUUUCCUUAAAUUCCUUCACUGCUAGACUUUUUUUUGUGUAGUAAAAAAUUGCUAAGUUCUAAAAUCGCUACGGUUCUCAUUAACUGUAAGAAUGUAGUAAUUGUGGCCAUGGCAAUAUUGUAUUAUCGUGUGCCAAGUCUUCUGUUAUGUGAUUUCUGCGAGUUCAUUCACUUGAGAUAAGGGUAGUUCUUCUCAAGCACCAUUGAUGUUGACUUGGAAUUCAAUGUUACUCAUUUCAAAUUCUAAGCUCCCCAGGCAUAGGGAGUCAUAAAUUGCGCAACUCCAGGUUCUGUUUUUACGGUGGGCCUCGCUUGUCAGUCGGUCAGGACCAAUUAUUUGACUCGGGCCUAGACGCCAGGUACCUAUGUCACUUGGUUGGGCUUCGUGUCACCGUCUGGUGGGCCCAUUGUCGUUCAAGUCAGUUGGCCCCUUAGCCUCCUUGCACACAUGGAACAUCCUCUUCCCUUUAACGCUAAGAUAGACGGGUCAAGGAACUAGAUGAGAAGACCAUGCGAGGCGACUAACAAGAGGAGCACUUGAAUGGUUGUCAGUCUGUCAGACGACACCGCGGAGAUGAUGAUUCUUAGGAUCUCGUGCAUGGUGUUUGUGUUAUUGUAUUUGCCAAUCGAAUCCGAACAAACACACGUAAAAUGGGAGAAUGCAGUGAAACAUCAAGCAGGAUAAGAUGAAGCAGAUGGCAGAACUACACGUCUUAUUUGUAAUAUUCGUCACAUGGAUUGUGCGCACACCCUGUGUAGGCAUGAUCAAUAUCAUGGGAGACAGAGGAAGGGAAAGGCAGGAUUCAUAUA
This is an RNA transcript of Hordeum vulgare subsp. vulgare (domesticated barley), 2427 nucleotides long. It is a transcript of the gene named probable isoprenylcysteine alpha-carbonyl methylesterase ICMEL2, with no coding region annotated. NCBI's taxonomy places the organism in Eukaryota, Viridiplantae, Streptophyta, Magnoliopsida, Poales, Poaceae. The record is from RefSeq and is a predicted model, not a curated record. The transcript is spliced from 12 exons.